CCCAGAGAAAACACCACAACACCAUACUCUCCAGAGCUCUGGACAAAGUCUUCCAUUUCCUGUAAAGGAAAGAAUUUGUUCCAUCACAAAAGAGAAAAUACAGAACACGGAGUAUUGUAAGGAAAUCUAUAUAAGUUAAGCAAGAACUCCUGGUUUCCUCCUCCCCUGGUUCAUUGUCUACCUUACUUCUACUUUCUGCUUCUCUGAAAUUGGCUAGUCAGGUAUUCAUGAAUGGAGUUUUGUGAUUGACCUUGGGCCAAAACCUUGUGAAGAUCCUUCAAUCAAUUCUUCUACAAUCUAGCCAGAAGUGGAACUGGAUUGUAAAUGUGCAUCUUUAAAGCCUGUGCCUUCACUUCUCACUGGUUGAUUGGCUACCUAUUGGGGAGUAAAACUCCUGAAACUUUGUCCUGAAGAAACAUCUGCUGACAUUGUUUUCGGCGGACACAACAUCUUUGUUUGUAUGUGGUGCUGAGGAUCGAACCCGGACCGCACGCAUGCCAGGCGAGCAUGCUACCACUUGAGCCAUAUCCCCCGCCCAGAGCUGCACUUUUCACUUCCCUCUUUAGCGCCUCUGUUCCUGCAUUGACAGUCACUUGUUCCUCUGCCUCAAGCAAGGGCUCUCAAGGAACUCAGGAUCCUCCAAAAGCAACUACUUGAGGUUGAAAGGGAAAAGGCUAAUUAGACAUAAACUGAAUAUGUUGUCCACUUAGAUGGGCUUCAAAGACAUUUAGAGGGACACAAGAUGUCUUGUCUCCCUCACCUAAAAUGAAGACUCCCUUAAAAGCCUUCUUCACACAUAUUUUAAUUCCAAGAAUCUUUACUCCAUAUUGAAUAUAUAAUCUCACCUUUUUGCAUUUUAUCAGAAACACAAUUUAGAUGAAAUAUUAUAUGGAGAUAAUAGCAGUAAGUUUUGUAUUACAGUGUUGCCCGAUUCAUGCCUAAAAUUUUAGAAUGGAAGCUGGAGAUCUGUGUGUCUGCAUGUUUAUGCCUGUAUGUGUGUAUGUAUGUGUGUAUGUGUUACAUGUUACAUAUAUUUGAUAUUUUCUCAGCUCUAGAUGAUAUGCCUAAUGGAAUAUAUAAAAUCUCUGAAUGGCUUUCUAUUCCUACCCACUGUGAUAUAAAUGAGCACUUACAUAAAUUAAACAUACCUAAAAUUACCAGAAAUGUAGAAAAAAUCAAAUACUUUCAAUAUUCACAUGGCUUAGUAAGUCUUUGGAAAAUAUGACUAGUUUGAUGUUAUUGGUUUACUAAAAACAGAUGUGUGACUCAGUUAUCAUCAUAAGUAUAAAAUGAGCUUAUAUUUUUAUUCCACCUGGGUUUACCAGUCACCUAUGGUUGCAAUUAGUUAUCAAGGAAAUAAUUUGAGAUGAGGUCUAGUAUUUUUGCUGUUAAGUGUGAAAAGUAUGUUUUCCUAAAACCAGUUUCCAAAAUCUUUUUGUUAAUUUGAUACCUUAGUUAUAUACUAAGUUAAAUUAAGGGAUAUUUGUUUAUUAGAUGUGUAGCCCAUUUCUACAUAAGACUAAAACACUUAAGUAUGCAUUCAUUUAAUUUUUACAUGUGGCUUUUAAGCAUAAUUAUAUUUGUGUCUGUUAAGAAAUAUAAGGAAUUAUUGAAUGAUAUAACAGUCCUAUAAGAAAACGUGUCACUAAAACAUUUGCUUGUCAAAUGGACUUUCAUCACAUCUUUAACUACUGCAGUUUGAUGAACCUGCCUAAAGUAGACAUGGAAAUGAAUGAUCUGAUAAAGAAGGAUUAUAAUAUUUUUGACAUUAAGUUUGAGAUUUUGCUGGAAUUUGAUGUUUUGUUUUCAUGAUUCAAGGCACCGUUUUUUCUUUUCCCGUACAGAAUUUUUCCAAAUAACAAAUUUGUAAUUUACAUUUUUUUAUAGAAAUUAAUCAUUUAUUGGCUUCCCUUUUUCUAAUCUCUACAGAAUUUGGAAACAACAUACUAGAUGCUCUUGCCAUUAGACGUUUAACUCUGUUUCCUAACUUGGCUUCCCAGGUUUCCCAGCCUCAGGAGGCUUUUAGAAGUCUAUCUGAGAUUUCUUUUGGAAAGAUCUGGCAAAGGAAACCUCCAAAGCAUUAUGAUCAAUUUCCAUUCUUGCUUCAUUGGUGAAAAUAAUCCACGCAAUACAAUGAAAUUAAACAUAUUUGGCCAGGAAGAAUUACUUUACUUUACCUAUCAUUUUUCAGAAAUGGAGUUGAGUGGUUGUAGGUAAAUUUCAUGUCACAGAGGAAUACCAUGACACACUAUUUUGUGUUAUUUUAACCUGUAAAUUGGACAGUGUCAUGUUGUGUCCAUCCUCACUAAAUUUUCAAUUCUAGGUUCCUCAUCAAACUAAAGUAUUCAUUGUUUCUGCUAUCUUCCUGGUGUAGGCUACCAGGAACAAAAUUGUGACUGUUUUUUUUUUUUUUUGUGUGUGUGUGACUCUCUAAAGAUUUCCCACAAAUUGAAGCUGGGUGGUUUCAUGCUUUGUUCUAAGAAAUCAUCUCAACUGUGACCUUGAUAUCUGUGCCAUCACUAAAAGCACUUAAAUUGCACAUCAGGAAAUUUGUCAGUUGUGAUAUCUGAGUACUAUGUUCUAUCUUCAGCAAGAAUUAUUGUUUUGGCCAAAAUUUCCUUGACUUCUGAUGUUUGUUCUUAGUAAUCUUUCAUCCACUGACCGUCACCCUGCACUUAGGCUGAACUUCAUCUUUCUCAUUCUUUUUCUGGAUAUCCUCUCUUUCCUUCUGUAUUGACACUGUCAUUUCCAUUUAACACAAAUGGAGAAAUCUUUUUAAAAUAGGAUUGAACUACCCAGAACUUCCAUUACUCUUAGGUGUGCUUUUGAAAUUGAAUUGCAACAUGUAGGCUCAAAGUUUGGCUUUAAGUACCUAUAUUUGGAUUUUAAAUAUUCAAUGAGAUCACAUACAAUCAUACUGCUAAUAAAAGAGUAGACAAAAAAAUCUCUUAAGUGAUCGCUUAAUAGUGAAAUAAAUGAUUGCUGUUUAAUGUAACAGCUCUGUGUUUGGGAUUGUAUAGGGAUUCUGGCCCUGAAAAUGUAAAGAGCAGCAUUCCCAUGGUGAGAAAGCACAAGGGGGAAGUGGGAUAGCAGGCACUCUGCUUCCCACCCUUAGAAUGCCCAAUAAUUUUUCUGAGGAUUUAAUAAUACAGCUAAUUUAUAUGCUAUGUCCAGCUUGUGUGGCAAUGCCCUGAGACCUCUGUGUUAGACCCUCAUCAAGCCUCAACCUUGAUUGCAGGCACAUACUCCUGGGAAUAGAAAAACUUGUUUGAUAGAUAACUACAACGUUUCAUCAAGCUUCUGUGCCCUUGGAGCUGCCCGCCUAACAUUCAGACAGUGGCUUUUCUUGAGAACUGCACAAAGCUCCUAACACUGCUUAUUGCAAUUGUGAAAUGUUACUGCAGAAUAAGCAACCUUACUGAUACUCUAAACAAUAAUGUGGUUAUGGUACUAAUGACCUGAUGUAACCUAUUGGUAUAAAUAAAUGUGGCCACUUGGACAAAGAGCCAAUCUUCCACCUUCCCUGCUUCUGCACUUUGACUCUGUCUCCUCUUUAUUAUUAUUCCUUACAGGAUUGGGUCUCUGAUGGCUUUAUGACUUUGGCAUGCUUGGUGGCUAGGAAGUUUCUGUGCAAAGACACAGAAUGCCUAGCUGCUGUAUCAAUGACCUGCAUGAGGAGUCUCUGUGGUAGAGUCUUACCAUUCUCAAUUUUCAUCUUAGGCACAUAGCUCAUGGGAAUAAAGAAAUUCUCUUGUUAAACAACCACAAUGUUUCACCAAACUCUGCUGCCUGAACCUGCCCACAUAAUAGUAACUUUAAACAAUGGAUUUUCUUGAGAGCUAUACAAAGCUGCUAACAUUGUACACUGCAACUAUAGUGUGUAACUGAGAAAAAAGCUGCAUAAUGUUGCUAACUCUGUAUCCUGCCUAAUGACACAAUGAACAAUAAUGUAUUACUGAUGCCAGUGACCUAAUGUAACCUAUUGAUAUAAAUAAAGCUGGCAACUUGGCCAUUCUGCCUCUGCA
Long non-coding RNA from Marmota monax (woodchuck), 4025 nucleotides. RefSeq lists it as uncharacterized. The transcript has 5 exons. The record is from RefSeq and is a predicted model, not a curated record. Lineage: Eukaryota; Metazoa; Chordata; Mammalia; Rodentia; Sciuridae.